This 429-nucleotide ribosomal RNA is filed under the name Chloroflexota bacterium. RNAcentral describes it as "Chloroflexi bacterium partial 16S ribosomal RNA". It matches the Rfam family "Bacterial small subunit ribosomal RNA", at positions 355 to 776 of the family's 1533-position model. The record is from RNAcentral. Lineage: Bacteria; Bacillati; Chloroflexota.
UGGGGAAUAUUGCACAAUGGGCGCAAGCCUGAUGCAGCCAUGCCGCGUGUAUGAAGAAGGCCUUCGGGUUGUAAAGUACUUUCAGUCGGGAGGAAGGUGUCAAGGUUAAUAACCUUGGCGAUUGACGUUACCCGCAGAAGAAGCACCGGCUAACUCCGUGCCAGCAGCCGCGGUAAUACGGAGGGUGCAAGCGUUAAUCGGACUUACUGGGCGUAAAGCGCACGCAGGCGGUCUGUCAAGUCGGAUGUGAAAUCCCCGGGCUCAACCUGGGAACUGCAUUCGAAACUGGCAGGCUAGAGUCUUGUAGAGGGGGGUAGAAUUCCAGGUGUAGCGGUGAAAUGCGUAGGGAUCUGGAGGAAUACCGGUGGCGAAGGCGGCCCCCUGGACAAAGACUGACGCUCAGGUGCGAAAGCGUGGGGAGCAAACAGG